Molecule: long non-coding RNA, 519 nt
Organism: Suricata suricatta (meerkat)
Lineage: Eukaryota; Metazoa; Chordata; Mammalia; Carnivora; Herpestidae
Exons: 3
Source: RefSeq, a predicted model, not a curated record
UAGGAUUUUAACUCAGGCCUCUAACUCAGGGGUUCAUAGCUGGACACCAUGGGGAGCUGGAAGAAGAAUAAGAUGCGGCCGGGCCUCUGGGAGCUUCAUCUCGUCAUGGUGGCAAGCUACCCAACUGAAAUAGACUAUGUCGUGAAGCGUCAUGCCAUGUAGCCGUGACAGUGUGACCAUCACCCAGCACCUUCCGCACGCCUCUACGGUGGUGUCUCUCGGGCUUGCGAUGCAUCAAGGGACUUUCUUCGCUGCCCAUUGCAUGGCUGGGGCUUGAGGAACAACGCUAAAGAUGGAAUGAUAUUGCAUGAACCAAAACAUGAUACAUGAUGAUUAGAGUCUCUCCUCCACUACAUCAGCCCCUGAGGAUGUAGAUAUAUGCUAGAGGAAUCAUUAGAAAAACUGGAAAGAUAAAGAGGGACUACAUCUAACUCUUACUCAACAGCAAAGUAUUGCUUAACGGAACUCACCCACCUUCUCCAAUAAAGAAGGGGACAGAGAGUAGUUAAUGCAAAUUCA